GAGUUUGAUCAUGGCUCAGAGCGAACGCUGGCGGCAGGCUUAACACAUGCAAGUCGAGCGGGCGUAGCAAUACGUCAGCGGCAGACGGGUGAGUAACGCGUGGGAACGUACCUUUUGGUUCGGAACAACACAGGGAAACUUGUGCUAAUACCGGAUAAGCCCUUACGGGGAAAGGUUUAUCGCCGAAAGAUCGGCCCGCGUCUGAUUAGCUAGUUGGUGAGGUAAUGGCUCACCAAGGCGACGAUCAGUAGCUGGUCUGAGAGGAUGAUCAGCCACAUUGGGACUGAGACACGGCCCAAACUCCUACGGGAGGCAGCAGUGGGGAAUAUUGGACAAUGGGCGCAAGCCUGAUCCAGCCAUGCCGCGUGAGUGAUGAAGGCCCUAGGGUUGUAAAGCUCUUUCGACGGGGACGAUGAUGACGGUACCCGUAGAAGAAGCCCCGGCUAACUUCGUGCCAGCAGCCGCGGU
Molecule: ribosomal RNA, 468 nt
Filed under: uncultured Alphaproteobacteria bacterium
Lineage: Bacteria; Pseudomonadati; Pseudomonadota; Alphaproteobacteria
Also listed under: 1 other name
Description: bacterial SSU rRNA
Rfam family: Bacterial small subunit ribosomal RNA
Source: RNAcentral